This is a long non-coding RNA of Patella vulgata (common limpet), 519 nucleotides long. RefSeq lists it as uncharacterized. The record is from RefSeq and is a predicted model, not a curated record. Lineage: Eukaryota; Metazoa; Mollusca; Gastropoda; Patellidae. The transcript has 4 exons.
UUUAGAAUCACCAUCAACAAGCUCGGUUGGUAUAAUACAACCACCCACAGCAGCUAUUGAUAAGAACUCAACUACCUGUUUUCAAACCGAGAACAAUGAUUAUCAACCCUGGUUCUUGGUUGAUUUGAUGGAGACAUUUUUAAUUCGUUUUAUAGUGGUCUACAACGAGGCUGAUUAUCCUGAACGCCUCCACGACGUUAAUUAUGAAGUCUAUGAUUCUGAUCCAACGAUAAACAACUCUUCAGAGGCUAACUGCUGUGCUUCAGUGGUUAACCACAGUACAGGUAAAAACAUCAUCAGGUGUAAUAAUGGCGUCGUGGGAAGAUUUGUAAAGAUGUCUAUCGAAAAGUCAAAUUUCCUAACAGUUUGUGAAGUGGAAAUAUACGGCACCCCUAUUGAUGAAACAAGUGGCACUUUUAAUGAAAGAUGUGAAUGUAAGAAAUUACCAGGGGGUGACAACAUUGCUUUAGGAAAACCAACAACACAAAGCUCAACACUGGAUGGUAGUAGCAACCAGGG